GAAAGGACGCACCGCUGGUGUACCAGUUGUUCUGCCAAGGGCAUCGCUGGGUAGCUAUGUGCGGACGGGAUAAGUGCUGAAAGCAUCUAAGCAUGAAGCCCCCC
This 104-nucleotide ribosomal RNA is filed under the name Bacillus safensis. Its description in RNAcentral is "partial 23S ribosomal RNA". It matches the Rfam family "Bacterial large subunit ribosomal RNA", at positions 2695 to 2798 of the family's 2925-position model. The record is from RNAcentral. Lineage: Bacteria; Bacillati; Bacillota; Bacilli; Caryophanales; Bacillaceae.